RNAcentral lists this ribosomal RNA (449 nucleotides) under uncultured bacterium. RNAcentral describes it as "partial 16S ribosomal RNA". It matches the Rfam family "Bacterial small subunit ribosomal RNA", at positions 330 to 794 of the family's 1533-position model. The record is from RNAcentral.
GCCAGACUCCUACGGGAGGCAGCAGUGGGGGAUAUUGCACAAUGGGGGGAACCCUGAUGCAGCGACGCCGCGUGGGUGAAGGAGCGUUUCGGCGCGUAAAGCCCUAUCGGCAGGGAAGAAGGAGGACGGUACCUGACUAAGAAGCCCCGGCUAACUACGUGCCAGCAGCCGCGGUAAUACGUAGGGGGCAAGCGUUAUCCGGAUUUACUGGGUGUAAAGGGGGCGCAGACGGCAGCGCAAGCCAGGAGUGAAAGCCCGGGGCCCAACCCCGGGACUGCUCUUGGAACUGCGCGGCUGGAGUGCAGGAGGGGCAGGCGGAAUUCCUGGUGUAGCGGUGAAAUGCGUAGAUAUCAGGAGGAACACCGGUGGCGAAGGCGGCCUGCUGGACUGCGACUGACGUUGAGGCCCGAAAGCGUGGGGAGCAAACAGGAUUAGAUACCCUAGUACGA